AAAAAUCAUAUCAAUCUUUCCUUUAUUGAUAAUAUUGAAAAAGAUGAAACAACAGUUCUCUUAUGUUUCAACUUAUUGAUCUCAAAUAAAGAAAAACUUUCUCUCGGUCUUGAGCUAAAUAUACUCAAAGAAAAACUCCUCUCGUUAGAAAAAUAUCUUUCUAUUUUAAACAAGAAAACACUUGUAUCUCGCUAACCAAUAAUUAUCUUCACAUUAAAAAAGAAAAAGUUUUUGAUCAUGCUAAACGCACACAACUUAUUUUGAAUUUAUGGGCAUCCUCUUAUUUUAAUGUCACAAGAAUCACUAAUGCUCAGAUUCGAGAUCAAUGUAGUAAAAUUCUUAGACGUUGUAUAGAAGGUGUUGUUUCUUUAACCAAAGUUGAAACUAAACAAACCUUAUAUGAAGCUAACCGCUUAAAAGAUAACUUUAAAAGUAGAUUUGCGAGUUCUUACUUUAUAAAUCCAACUUUAAUCAAUAGUCACCGCUCUAUUGAUUUUAAUGGCAUUACUAAAUGUGUUUCUAAAAUAUAUGAUCUUGAUCCUUCUCUCCAACUGUAACAUUCCAAAUUUCGAGUUCAAAAAUUUUGUUUGUAAAUAAGUAAUUUAUAAAAUCGUUUACUGAAAACAUUGUCAAUAUCAUAUCAAUCCAUAAACCAUCAUGAACAUGUCUCAAAUCAAAACAUCAAACAAUAAUAUAAAUCUGAGUACAAUCCUAGAAAAGUCAUUGCGGAAAUUAUGUGUGUGUGUGUGAUGCGCUAGUACACCGCCGACUCUUUCCCCUUGGAUGAAAAGGUACCUGAAACCAAAACUGAAUGUGUAAGAACAAAGCUUAGUGAGUUCCGCCAUCAUACCACAUACUAUACAAUCAUAAAUGUUGUCGGGCAAUUAUGGGGUGCCCGACCUACCCAUGUCAAGCCAUUUUAGGGUGCUGACUACCCGUGUCAAGCCAUUAUGGGGUGUUGAAUACCCGUGUCAAGCCAUUAUGGGGUGUUGACUACCAUGCUAUGCCAUUCUGGGGUGCCUGCCUACCCUCCAGUCUAUCUCACCCGGUCACGGGGACUAUUUCUCCCCUAUAACUAUCACAUAAUAACAUAUCAUAAACGUACUGUCAGACAUAUAUGGGGUGUCCGACCUACCCUUCGGUCCUAACAACCGUUCGGGGGACUAUUCCCCUCCUAAUACCACUAUCACAUAGAACAUAACAUACUGGCACAUAGAACACUUAAAGCAAUAGCAAACCAAACAAUUAUCACAAAGACAAUCAUCUCAACUGUAAUCAACUACUAGUGGGUUGGCCUUGAUGCCUUAGACCCACUUGUACUGGAAGGUAACUCACCUCAAUGUCGCGUAGUGUAUGCACUGUCCCCGACGUGAAAAUCGACUUUCCUUGAAUCCUUAAUCACUACAUGACAACUCUACUAAGUUAUCAACUCGUACUCACAACCUCACAAGGGGUCAACCCAAAUCCUGGUCAAAGUCAACCUCCAGUUGACUUGACUCGCUGAGUUGGCCUACAAAAUCGUCGGGUACCUAAUCCUUCAAAAUGAUCCAACCCCCAACUCCACUCAUCGAGUCUAGCAACAACUCGACGGGUCCUCCUUCAACCAUAAAAUCGGGACCAUCUUCAACCGACUCGCCGAGUUCCCAUUGAAGUCGUCGAGUUCAUCUCCCUCAUAAGAAUGUGAUCAGUCUAUGACUCGCCGAGUUGUAUGAACAACGCGUCGAGACCAUCUUCAUGGUUUGGGAGAUUGCCUUGGACUCGCCGAGUUUGUUCAUACACUUGUCGAGUCCUAAGAUUUCCAGGUCUAUACUCACGCCCAUCUUUGCUGAGUCUCCCUUCUAGACUCAACCAGAUUCCUCCGAAACAAAAGGUUGGGGGAAACAACGCUCAACUCGCCGAGUCCCAUGAACAACUCACCGAGUCCCCUAAAGUCCAUGUCCAUAAACUCGAUUUCUGUUGAGCUCAUCUCAUCUAAAGGGUAGAUCUGACCUCCUAGGGUCGAUAUAAAACAUAAAGUUACGAACUUUACGUCCAUGCAUGGGUCUUUAAGCUCAAAAGGACCAAAAAUGAGACCUACAAGAUGCAUGGGACUCUCAUGGCCAUAGAGUUGGCACCUUCCAAAGUCCAAGAUCUGAAGCCAUAUCUCUACAGUACACCCCACAGCCCGAUAAUGGCUUAGAAAUGCCCUAAAGAUACCAAAAUCCAAGCCCUAAAGUUGAUUAAACACAUGGAAGGUCAAGAUUGAAGCUUUUUACCUUAAAUGAGUUGGAAAUGGAACACAAUCUCUGGAUCUUCUAGCUUCAACUUGAACUCCCAAGCUCCUUUCUUCUUCUCAAGCUUUCACAACCACCAAAAAUGCACAAAAUGGCUUAGGAUCACUGUAAAGUCCCGAAAAUAGAUCUACCAACGAUCAAAGACAAUCACAGAUGCAAACACAAAUUAAUAAACCAAUAAUGAGUAAAACACCAAGCUUGCAUACGCUUUAAUACUGUAAAACGUCUGAUACAACUUGGAAGUAUACGAGAGCAUCAACAACUCAUAAAGGCUGACAUAACUCGCUAUUUAAAGACCUGACUAGGAACCGUAAGGUGUUUACGGCCGUAAACCCAUUUUGACCAUAAACACCGUAAACUCAAAACAAAACACGAACAAUUACAUUUUUACUGCUAUCUACGACUAUGCCUAGACCAAACCAUUUUACAGAGUCUUUCAAUCUCCCCCUUGGUUUGGACUAGCUCGGUCCCAUUCCUUUCUUUACUAGCAUAACAUCCAUUUGGCCCAUAGCACCAUUCCACAUCUUUUUGCUCAAAAUCUCAGCAACCAUCCUGGUAUACACCUUUGCUCCAUGCUCAUAGAUAUCUUCAACCACUUUGAUUUGAAAAUUGCUCAGAUAAUGAAUAUCCCACUUCCUGAACUGCAUAAGGUCUCUUUGAUCAUACAACCGUAUGCACCCAUUCUUGAGCUUAAUGACUGCACCACAAGUACUUUCAUCAUAAACCCAACACUCCAUAGAACCGAGCGAUCCAUCUUUAUAACCUUGAACAAUGGGAAAUUGUUUAACUUGAGUCGUGGGAGGCCACAUAACCAACUGUAGUGGUUUAUCAGAAGAAGCUUCAAACACAUCUGGAUGUUCCAGAAUGAUUGACUCAGCAGUUGGCAUUGUAGGAAAUCCCUUCUUCACUUGCUCAUCUAGAAAGAAUUUGAACUGUGAAACCUGAGGAUUGUUUAAUAGAUUAAUAAACGGAGCUUGUGAUAACUCCGCAAGAUCAACCCUUGUCAACGAACUAAAGGCGCGAAUAUCCUUAUACAACUCUGAAUUACCACUCUUGCGAAUAAUAAUCCAAAGUCGAAGAGGAUCGUGAAAUCCCCAAGCAGCUACACCCGACCGAUCUCCAAAAGUAUCUCUGAACCGAACAAUUUCAAGAUCAGUGACAGUGAUCAAAGAUUCCCCUUUAGAAUUGCUCUGAGUAACAUUUCGCUUGAAUAAUAAUUGCCCCCUUUCAGUAUCAUCUUCCUGAUUUUUCCGAAUGAUCUCUUGAAUAUGAGAAGCCAUAGGAGGAACAACUCCAAUACGCUCAGCAGAACCAGAAGAUUGACCAGCUGGCACAUCUACUGGAUACGCUUGCACAUGUAAAUUUAUUCUUUGUUCUUCUACGCUUGUUUUAUACUUCUCACCAAAAUCAUCCUCCAGUUUCUUUUUCAAUUCGAAGUAGCUUGAAGUCAGCAGAUUGAAAUGUUCUUGAAGGUCAGAAAUCUGCUUAUCUUUUACUUUUCUAUCCCUCUUAACUUCUGCGAGUUGUCCGCCAAGAUAAGUUCUAUCUGACUGAAGUUUAGACACUUGAGUACAUAGCUCAAUGUUCUGAGCACGAAGUUCAGCUACCUGAAUGUCAAGCUCUAUGUUCUUCUGACUUAAUACCGAGAUCUCCUUUCGUAAACUAUCAUCAGAUGAAUCAUCAUCAGGAGCACCCCCUUCACUCAUAGAAAUGUUCUUUCCUUGAGGGCUAGACGAACGAAACUGUUCCUCUGCCAUAUGCAAAGCUAGUCUCUCAGAAGCAGCAUCCCUACUAAAUCUUGGAACAGGAAAACCAGGCGGAGCUGAAGGGCCACCAACAUCAAAAACUGAACUAGGUCCAGUUGCAAACAUCUUUGUUACAGAAAGUCGUGUAGUAGCAGUAGUGAUUGGUGGUGUAGGAAGACCACUGACCAAACUAGUAAUUAGCUCGGAUUGUCUUUCAUCAAGUCUUCUCCUCUUAGAUUGAGGUUGGUCAGCCUGUGGAGGUAUUACACUAACAAAUGGUUCAGAUGUAGGAGAAAUAGACACGGGAGGGGAAAAUCCCACAACUACCUCCAUUGGAGUUGAAGUUGACACCAUCUGCUCGGAAAUUGGAGUAAAAGUUUCGCUCGUUUUUCUCUUCUCAGUUGACGGCAAAACACUAUCAUCAACAUUUUGAAAAAUCGUGUCAAAUAUCUCGUUGGACACAACAUUAGCACUACUAGCUAAAGAAGCCGCAAUAUCAUCAUUAUCAAAUCCCGUAAGAUCAAGAUCUUCAAAUGAGUCUCGUCCAUCAUCACCGGUACCUAUUUCCCUUUCAUCCUGUCUUUCAUUCGACUCAUGUUCAUGACUAGAGGUACUUUGAUCUCUCUGAGCUGGUGAAUCUUCAUCAUCUUCAGUCACGUCUAUCACAAAGUUUGCUGGAGUCGAACCCUUAGUAGACGUUUUCUCAGAGGAGGUCGGUUCUGAUGAUUCAUAUGACACUGGCGUCUCAUCCAAUUCUGUAAACUUACCGAAUUUUUCCAAUCGAUAACGCCCUCGAAAGACAACUUUUCCUAUCGAUAACGCCCUCGAAAGACAACUUUUCCUCUUCGGUUUUGCUUAAUGAGUCCCACAGUGUGCGGACCCAAAGAUUUCAUAUCCAGGGUAUCUCCUGACUUCCUAACCUCAGGGAACUGCAUCUCGACAAACAAUUGAAUAAAGCGGGGAUAUUGGAGAAAAGUAUCCCUUGUAGAAGCCCGGAUGUUUAUGACAAAUUCCUCUAGGAUGAACUUUGAGAAAUUGAAAUGAAUUCCAGAGGCCAAAGAUACGAAUGCACCAGUUGUGCGUUGAGAAAUUUCAUCAGCCCCACUCCUUCUACUGGACAUACAACUUACGAACACAUGGGCCAGAAAUCUCCAAUAUGGAUGAAGCAGCUUUUUCAACGUUGGCGGGUAGGUUCCUUCAUAACUCAUACGUCGUAGUAUUCUCUGAACAUCCUCUAUGCCAAUUUCCGUCGGAUAGUUCGGUUGAUCAUCAAUCAGCAACGCAUUUCGAACAAAACUUUCAUCGAUUACAAUAUCUCGUCCUUGCACCUUCGCCGCGACUGUGAAAUUUCCAUCAUCAUCCAGCUGCGUCCUUGCCGUCGCCCAAAACUCACGAACGAUGUUCUGAUAGAUCACCGGAUUGACUGUCAAAGCUGAUGCAAUACAACAUUCACGCAACCUGUGAAUCAUUGAAAGCAUGUCGGAAUGAACGACAGGUGGAUCAGCAAGAACUAUCGCCAGAUUGUGCAUGUCUGCAAACUUGAGAUUUGCCAUUUUCCUGCACUCAANUUGUCAUUUUUGCACUUAAACACAGUUGUAAGAAACCUACACCAAUGAUAAAACUUAUUUUGACAAACAUAUGACAAUAAAAUUUGAUCAAAAUAAAAAUUAUUUAUUAGAGAUGUAUGUUUCUUAAAAAAUAAACCUUUUGACAGUUUUGGUUCUUGGGCCGUAAACUCUAGUUUACGGCCUAAAGAACUCCCUUAGAAAAAUUUAGGUUCACGGUUUAAGCGAGGAAAAACAAGCAAUCGUUACCCAGUCAAACUAAGAGCUUGAAUCGACAAAUGUUCUUGGGCCGUAAACUCCAGUUUACGGCCUAGAAAUUACUUCGAAAACACGAUGCAUAAUUAUCAUUGAAAUAUUUCAAACAGUCCAGAAAAGUUACACCUGAAUUCACGGGCCGUAAACUGGGAGUUUACGGCCUAUGAAUGUCUACACCGAAAANCAAUCGUUACCCAGUCAAACAAACAGCUUGAGUCGACAAAUGUUCUUGGGCCGUAAACUCCAGUUUACGGCCUAGAAAUUACUUCGAAAAUACGAUGCAUUAUUAUCAUUGAAAUAUUUCAAACCGUCUAGAAAAGUUACACUUGAAUUCACGGGCCGUAAACUGGGAGUUUACGGCCUAUGAAUGUCUACACCGAAAAAGGCUAAAAAUUUGUCUUUCACUUUGAGAUGACGAACGAGAAGCAUAUAUUCGUGAACACAACGAGAAGUCGCAUCAUAACAAAACAAUUUCGAAUCCAAAUCAUCAAGUUUCAGAGUUUACGGCCUAAGCUUACGGCCGUAAACUCCUCGACUUGAGUUUAUUUAAUUUUAAGCACAAUGCGAUGAGAUUCCGUGAAACGAAAUAUAUAUUCGUGAUCUACACGAUGCUACCUUCACGAUGAUAUACUUGUUUUUCCGAAAAUCGAAGAAAAAAUUUUCGACACCUUGAGAGCCUUUUGGGAGAGGUUUGCGGCCGGAAACUGAUGAGUGGGGAGAUUCCGGCCGUGAACUCCCCCUUUUUAUCCUUUUACCUUUCCACCUCUCUUACCCUCCUGCCUGUUAGCUACCCAGUCUGUCUAAUUUUUCGCCAAUUAAUAAAAAUACAAUCUUUUGAGGAUUAANAAUUUUUAAAAAAACUUUUAAAAUAAAAGUAAAAUAAAACUAAUAUAAAAUUUUAAGUUGAAAAAUUAAAUAAAAAAUAAAAGUAAAAGUAAAAUUAAAAUUAAAAUAAAAAAAUAGAAAUAAAAAUAAAAAUAAAAAUAAAAAAUCAACGUCAAAUAGAUUAAGAAAUACUUUAACUGCCACUUCUUUUGUGAUGCUUGGAUCAAAGUUAUUGGACGGCCUUAUUCUACUUGUCGGUACCCUUAUUUUCACAUCUUCGUCUGACCGAUUGCCAGUAUUGUGGUCCACUUAAACGCGAAGGAUUUGUGACAUUUUGGACCUUUUACCAAUGACAUGAUUCGGGCAUAUACCUAAUUGUAAAUUUCUGGUAAUUAUUAUAUCUCCUAAAUCUUACGUGAAAUUACCUUAUGACCAUUUAAUUGACUACAACCAGGGAUAUUGUUGUCCACCUAAAUUGAGCAGCGAGAUCUACAGACAAUCUGUAUGAGUUCAAUUUUUAGGUGUACUGGAACGUGUUUCCCGCUUCCUGAUAUGCCCCAGCCAUCAAGAACUUCCAGAGUACUCCUUACACCGGGUGAGCAGACAAUCAUUCAGAGAGAGAAGGGAUACAGAAUCCUAUUGCUAACUACUUCAGAGGGGUUGAGAAGAAGAAGGUUGCAUAUGCUGUGUACCAGGUCGGAUUAGAAGUCGCGCAAAGGAGACAGCAUGUGGCUAACAGAUGAGAAGUUUUUCACAUAUACAUUUCACACAUAUAUUUCAAGCGCAUAUAUAUUUCCUACAGAGAAAUGGAGUUGCAUAUGUUGUGUACCAGGUCGGAUUAGAAGUCGCGCAAAGGAGACAACAUAUGACUAACAGAAAGAAAGAAAGAAAACGAUUUUCUACAGACCUAAUUUAUCGGAAUUUACCAGUCGCCCCAUCCAACCGGAAUUAAGGACAGAAUCCGCACAUCGAGGAAAAGUUAAGCCACGGUUCCAAGUACGGGUUCAAUUAAUGUGACGAGUAGAUUCUCAUGUUUAUCUCCCUGCUCAACCUAUCCGAGCGUCGUGAUGUCAGAUUAAACGGAUCUAACUAGGUCAAAAUUUGUCGAGUCCUUAAAUUCAUUAGGUUCAACUUUCCUAGUCAAGUCCCCUUUUAAAAUCUUUCGCGCCUACCAGCACAUCGAGCACAGAGCGUAGAUGAUUCAACGUAGGUACGUUACGCCGAUUCAGGUCGUCCUUUAUCACUUAUUAAUAUCAUUUCCCAUCACACUACUUACAACGAAGGCUGCUUUGAAAUAACCCUAAUUUAGAUUCUUUACUGAAAUGACAUUAUUUUUGGAUUUUUGUAAUUUUUGUUGUUUUUGUAUUUUCUUUCUCCCCCUAAAUUUGUGCAUAGUUGAGAGUUUUAAACAAAAGAAAAAAAUGCGCAAAUUUAAACAUACCUAACAAAAAUUGAAGACAAACUUGGUAAAAUGUUAAAAUAGACUAAGAGGACCAAAAAAAAAUGAAAUAAAAUUAAAAUUAAAAUAAAAUAAAUAAAUAAAAAAACUAAAAACAAACAAAGAAAAGGAAAAUAAAAAAAACUUAAUCCUCAAAACGUAUCAUUUUCAGAAAUCCCACAAGCAUAUCAAAACGAGCUUUGUUAAAAGGUUUUGUGAACAAGUCAGCCACAUUGUUAUCAGUGUGGACUUGUUCGAUUCGAAUUAAAGAUCGUUCAUAACAGUCUCUGAUAAAGUGAAUUUUAAUAUCGAUGUGCUUGGUUUUAGAGUGUUGGACUGGGUUCUUAGCAAUUUGUAUGGCAGCCUCAUUAUCACAAUAGAUAGGGGUUUCUGAGUAAUUCAAACCGUAGUCCAACAGCUGAUGUUGGAUCCAAAUAACUUGAGAACAACAGGCUGAUGCUGCCACAUAUUCUGCCUCUGCUGUCGAAGUCGAGACAGUGUGCUGCUUCUUGCAUUGCCAUGAAACUAGUCUGUCACCUAGGUAUUGACAUCCUCCUGAAGUUGAUUUCCUGUCAAGCUCACAACCUCCAUAAUUGCUGUCAGUAAAAGCAUAAAGAUUAAAUUCAGAAUUCUUCGGAUACCAAAGACCCAAUUUAGGGCUUCCUUUGAUAUACCGAAAAAUUCUUUUAACAGCAAUAAGAUGAGAGAGUUUAGGAUUAGCCUGAAAGCGAGCGCAUUGACAAACUGCGAACAUAAUGUCUGGUCGACUUGCAGUAAGAUACAUUAGGGAUCCGAUCAUCGAUCGAUAAAGAGUUUGAUCUACGGGUUCGCCUUCUGGAUCUGGAGACAGGAGGGGUCGUUCAGCCAUCGGUGUUGAGGCAGAUUUAGCAUCAUGAAGUGCGAACUUCUCAAGAAUAUCAUCCACGUACUUGGCCUGAUGAAGAAGGAUGCCGGUUGAAUUCUGUUUAACCUGAAGCCCCAAAAACAUGGUCAUUUCUCCCAAAGAACUCAUUUCAAAUCGUUUCUUCAUUACACUUUCGAACUCCUUGCAAAGUUGUUGGCUUGUUGAUCCAAAGAUUAUGUCGUCGACGUAUAUUUGAACAAGUAUCUGGUCCUUGUCGACAUGCUUUAUAAAUAAUGUUUGAUCGAUAGUACCACGUGUAUAGCCAUGUUCGAGCAAGUGCUUUGUUAGAGUUGCAUACCAUGCUCUAGGAGCCUGAUGCAGUCCAUACAACGCUUUAUCCAACUUGUAGACAUGAUUAGGAAACUUUGGGUCGACAAACCCUGGAGGUUGAUCAACGUAGAUUUCUUCCUUCACCUUGCCAUACAAGAAGGCAGUCUUGACAUCCAUCUGAAAAACAGUGAAGUUCAUAUACGAAGCGUACGCCAAGAAGAUACGAAUGGCCUCUAAGCGAGCUACGGGAGCAUAAACCUCAGUGUAGUCAAGACCCUCGACUUGUCGAAAUCCGCGAACUACCAAUCUGGCCUUGUUUCGCACAAUGACCCCUGAAUCGUCCUGCUUGUUACGAUAAACCCAUCGUGUGUCAAGAGACUUUUUGCCCUUUGGUAACUCAACUAACUUCCAAACACCUAGUUUUUCAAAUUGAUGCAAUUCUUCAUGCAUCGCAUCCACCCAGCUAGGUUCAUUUAGAGCCAUUUCUACAUUCUUGGGCUCAAUUUGAGAAAUGAAACAAGAAUACAGACAUGUAUUCACGUCUCCACUUUGACUUCUGGUUUUAACACCACUGUCUAGCUGGCCUAUAACGUUCUCGAGCGGAUGAUCUCGUUGAAUCCUAGAGGGAAUUUCUUGGCUGAUGUCAUUGAUAGAGACAGGUAGAGUGUGAAUGUUAAGUCCUCCUUCAUUUGCUUGUUGAGUAGAACUAGAUGGUUCUGCAACAUACUCAUCGGCGAUAAGGUCAGGAAAGAGUAAUUCCAUCAGGUUUGAAGAGACAGCGGAAGCAUCAGUUGGAAUGAACUCUUUCUCUAAUAAUGUGGAAGGUCUUGAUUCAACAUUCGAAGAAUCAAUCUGGUCUGAUUGAGGAUUGAAGGAUGUUGCAGAAGAUUCCCUUUCAAUUUCAGCAGACGGCUCCCCCUCAGAUGAAGCAGAGGACUCCCCCUCAACUGGAGCAGAAGAUUCUCCUUUGUGCGAAACGGAGGACCCCCAUUCAGUAGAAGCUUUAGAUUUUUCUUUCAGUGAAUUGGAGGUUUUAGAUACAGGUUUGUAUACUACUUCUUCGACUUCAUCUUCAGAGAUACUCUUCAAAUGCGAAUCAGUUCUUGAAACAUCAUUUGAAUACACGUUUAAGGAUUUGAAAAGUGACGUGUAAUCAAAUAACCAGUCCGGACCCACUCUCGCGUCUGUCUCAUUCUCUUCUAACCAACGCACGUCAUAGGAUUCCACAAUCUGUUUGGUUUUCUUGUUGUAGACUCGAUAAGCGGUACGUGCAGCAUACCCAACAAAAUAGCAGUCAUCAGCUUUGGCAUUAAACUUCGGAUUGGCAUCUAGGUGAAGAAGGGUGCAAGGACAGCCAAAAACUCGAAAAUGACUAACUGACGGUUUGUGACCAUAGUAAAUUUCAUAUGGAGUUUUCAUUUGAGCUUUGUUGAUGAGUACUCGAUUUUGAACAUAACAGGCAGUGUUUAUUGCCUCUGCCCAAAAGAAAACAGGGAGCUUGGAGUCACACAACAUCGUCCUUGCUGCAUCCUUAAGUGUUCUGUUUCGCCUCUCAGCAACACCAUUUUGUUGAGGUGUGUGAGCGGAACUAAAUUGAUGUAAGAUCCCCUUCUCAGAACAGAAGUGAUUGAGAACCGAAUUCUUGAAUUCCGUACCAUUAUCGGUGCGAAUAGCCUUCACCCUAUGAUUGGUCUGAUUCUCAAUAAGUAUGAUGAACCUCUUGAUCAAUUCAGCGACGCCAGCUUUGUUGGAUAGAAAGAAAACCCACGUAAAACGAGAAAAAUCAUCAAUGACAACUAGACAGUAGGAACUCCUAUUGAUGCUUAGCACAUUCACUGGACCAAAUAGGUCCAUGUGAAGAAGUUGUAGAACCUGACUUAUUGAGUUAACUUGCUUCGGUAAAUGUGGCUUUCGAUGAUGCUUUCCUUGAGCACAGGACACACAUUUCUCAAACGUGAUAAAGUCUUUGACAGGUAAUCCUCGGACCAUCUCAUUCUUUGCAAGACGAUUGAGAUUUUUGGCAUUGGCAUGACCUAAUCUUCGGUGCCAUAACAUUGCGGUUUGCUCAGUGAUCUUGGAGAACAAACAAGUAACCUGCUUUGGAAGAUUGCUAUUCAUAUCGAUAAUAUAGGCAUUUCCAUCCCUUUUUGACUUUACGAGAAUCCAUUCUUCAGGGAUGACAAAACCUGGCUUUAAAAUCAUGCAUUCCUUGUCAGUGAAAUGCGUAGAAUAACCUUUGUCACAGAUUNUUUGAUACCGUGCCCUUUUGAGUAAUUUUUCCUCCAUCUCCACUUGCAAAAGAGACAUAUCCCCUAUUAAAUGAUUUAAUGUCGUUCAACUGGGUGAUGUCUCCUGUCAUGUGCCGGGAACAGCCGCUGUCGACGAACCAUGGUCUGACGACAUUUCCCCGCAACUGCCCCUGCAAAAUGGGUGGGUUUAAUUAGAUUUGGGCACCCAGGCCAUAAUCUUCCUGGGUGAUCCCGAUACCUUUUCAGAUUUAUUGCACAUGAGCUUCUCUGAGGAUACAGAAGACGUAUUGGGAAUAGAUUUGGGUUUCCAUAUAUAAUUAGGUUUUUUGAAAAAUUCAGUCAACUUUGUCAUUUUAUGUGUGACGAUCUGCUUAAAGCAUGAUUUACUUCUACCAGAAUUGGUUGAAGAUCCAUUAUAGCUUUGGGAUGAGCUUGACCUUUGCAUGGUUAGCUUUGGGAUGAGAUUAAAAAACCUUUUAUGACUGUGAAAUAUGCCCCUUUUUCUAUUUCUUUUAUCUACCCAAUAGUCAUUUCGAGAGCGACUUCUAGAGGAAUUUCUAUUUAAUGAUCUUCCUCUGAAUUCGUUCUCUCCUCUUGGAAGAUUAUAAUUCACGAACAUUCGAUUAAGACAAUUUCGAGCAAUAUGACCCUUAGUGCCACAAUUAAAACAAAUCUGAUAGUUAUUGUUAGAACUUGUGUUGCAUUUGUCAGAUUUGUUUUCCCCACAAACACCCUUGCUUGUCUCACAAAAACAUGCAGUAUUAUCAAGUUGUGAGGCAAGUGAGGGUGCUGUAUUUAUUGAGGGUUGUGAGACUAAUGGUAUGUUAACAUUUUUAUCACAGACGUUUAAAUUGUCAACCAAAGUGUUCAAAGAUUUAUCAGAUAUAUCAGAAACAUUCAAAACUGUAUCAGAAUAAUUUAAAACACCAGAAGCAAAAUUGUCACUCAAGACAUUUAACAAAGAAUUGUCUUUAUUUAAAAUAAAAGCUUCAGGUUUUGGCUCGAUUUUAUUUUCAGAAACACAUCCUUCAACUUUGUGCUUUGACUGAUUCAAGGAUUGAUCUGCAGGAGAAGUAGAAAUGUUAGUACUUUCAACAUUAAUAAAUCCUCCCGAAACAAAACCGGAGGGCUUGCCAUAAAUCAUAAAUGAUUCAUUGGCAAUCUCUUCUUUGGACAAGGGCUUGGGCUCGUAUGAAUGAUUGAAGGGAGGAGGAACAAAUUUAUAUCCUAGACCUUUUGAUUGAUUUCUUUUAAACUGCAUACUUUGGUCUAUCAUAUUUGCAACCACCUCACUUGAGAAAUCAUAUUUUCUGACAUCAAGUUUGGCGGUCUCAAAGUUUCCUUUCAAGGAUUCAACUUCAGCUACAAGCUCAGCAUUUUGUUUGACUACAUAAUUGUAAUUUUCACAUUUGUUGCUGUAGUCUUCCUGGAGUCUCCUAAAGUCUUUAAUUUUUGAUUCUAGUUGAGCUUUAAGUGGUUUUUGUCCUUUUCGAAGUCGAUACCCUUCAUAUCUAAGGUCUUCUACGUCUCUUAUUAAUUUAUCAUUGAGUUCACGAAGAAUCCUAAGAUUUUCUACUUCAUUACCUAAUGUCUCAAUUUUAUCCUGUAAAGUUUUCACAUAAUCUAUACAAGCCUUAGAACAUGAUGGGAGACUUACCUUGUAUGAGUUAGGUUCAUGGGAGGAGGAUACCAUCAAGCCAAAUUGAAGUUUCAUCAUGUUGUCUUCAGCUGCUGCAGUCCUUGCUUGAGCGUCAUUCCUCACUUGUGCUAGAUGAGCAUUUUCUGGUCCAGACAAAUUUAGGGCUUGUAUUUGAUCAUCCCAGUCAAAUGAUUGAGCAACCAUAGCCUUUUCAUUGUUUGCUUGACCACUGCUUCGAUUAUUCCCAACUGCAACCAUUGUUCUGUCAUUAUUGACCCUCCUAUCAGGGUGUGGGCAAUCACGAGCAAAAUGCCCUGGCUCGUGGCAAUUGAAACAUCGAAGCUUUCCUUUGUUGAAUCCAACCUUCUUGUCAGCACUCAUUCCCCAAUUGUUCUUCCCUGUCUUUUUGGCAAACUGUUUUGCCCUAAAUACAGCCAUGGCAAUUUGCCAUGUGAUGUCCAUUUCCUCAACAUCCUCUGGAUGGAUUUGAUCAAGAUCUGCAAAUGACAGUUGAGGAGGAAGUUCCCCAGCUACAAGAGCAUUGUAGCAAUUCACAAGCCCUGCUGCAAAGACAAGGUUUUCAUCACCCUCCUUUCCCUUUGAUGAAGAGGCCACAUUAGAGGAUGAAAUAUUUUGGGUAGAUGUAAUAGGCUGGCCUUGUGGGUAAGGAAUGACCGGUGCAGAGGAAGAUGAACCUGCAGAAGUAUAGGAGAAAGAAGAGAGAGCAUUAUUAGAUGAAAUGCCAAGAUUGGCAGAUGAGUAUGAGUUCACAUGAUUGAUCUCUCGCUGUUUGUCAUCAAUAUCACACGCUUUGAUGACAGCCAUCACUUCAGCUAGGGAAAGUCGAUUAAGAUCCUUAGUCUUCUUGAUUACUGCUACAUUCAUGUCCCAAGAUUUUGGGAGAGCAUUUAGUAGCUUCUUAUUAAUCUCUGACUUUGUAUAGAAAAUCCCUGCCACAGUCAUCUCAGUGUUGAGAGUGGUAAAUCUCUGCAGUUGAGCUUCGAGAGUCUCCCCAGGAACGUAAUUAAACAUAUUGAAGCGUUGUCUCAGCAUAUCUUGACGACUUUCCCGCAUGUCUUCAUUUCCCUCAUAUACUUCAAUGAGAGCUUCCCACAGAGCUUUGGCAGAAGUAUACUCUCUGAAUCCUUGAGCAAUGUCUGGAGAUAAUGCCAUAGUCAAAAUGGCCAAUGCCUUUUCUUGUUCUUCCACACUCUCAAAGUCUUCAUCAGUGUAAUUUUCAAUUGCCUUGUCGACCACCUUUCCCCCAACUGUAGUGGUGAUUCUGACUGGAUCCUUUAAAACACAUUUCCAAAUCUUAAAGUCUUUCAUCUUUAUAUACUUCUCAAUUCUAUAUUUCCACUCGGGAAAACCAUCAGCUGACAUAAGUCUUGGAAUUCGUGUGGUUGUACCCAUCACAGCAUCAAGCUCUUGGUAUUGAGUUGAAUUUUGUGUAUCCAUUUUUAUUUAAAAAAAUAUCACAAAAAAAUUUAAGGCUGUAAAGAUGCUGAUUUUGUCGUGUAAAUAAAGGCAGAAAAUACUGGGCCGUAAACUCCCGGCCGUAAACUGGAGUUUACGGUCAAAAGUUAUUUUGUUUUAAAACUAACUCAAUAAUUAAUUUCAAUUUUAUAAAAUCAACUCACGUAGCCGUAAACUUUUAAGCCGGAAACUCGAUGCCGUAAACCUCAAGUCAAGUAGUUUACGGCCGUAAACUUGAGUUUACGGUCCACGAAUACUUAUUGAUUUAAACUCCGAAAAAUAAUGGUUCAAAUUUCGAUUAACAGAAAGUCAAUUUUUGUGAGUAAUUUAGUUUACGGUCAAUGAAAUUCAAAUAAAAAGUUCGAUUUUAAUUUUAAAACACAACUCAAUUAAAUCCCAGAACUAAGGUGUGAUUACGAAGGCUUGAGAGACGUGAAAAACUAUCGAUUUUGAAGAGUGCAGAUGAGGCCGUAAGAGGAGUUUACGGCCGUAAACUUAGGCCGUAAACUUCUGGAAACCUUGAUUUCGACUGAAAUAAAUUUCUCUAAACUGCAGUGGAUGUCGAUUUAGUUGAAAACGCAGCUGUUGAACGCCUUUGACACUGGUCUCGCUCUGAUACCAAUUGUAAAGUCCCGAAAAUAGAUCUACCAACGAUCAAAGACAAUCACAGAUGCAAACACAAAUGAAUAAACCAAUAAUGAGCAAAACACCAAGCUUGCAUACGCUUUAAUACUGUAAAACGUCUGAUACAACUUGGAAGUAUACGAGAGCAUCAACAACUCAUAAAAACUGACAUAACUCGCUAUUUAAAGACCUGACUAGGAACCGUAAGGUGUUUACGGCCGUAAACCCAUUUUGACCAUAAACACCGUAAACUCAAAACAGAACACGAACAAUUACAUUUUUACUGCUAUCUACGACUAUGCCUAGACCAAACCAUUAUACAAAGUCUUUCAAUCACUUAAACAAGGCUUGGGUUUCAGUUUAAGGUCUUCUGGAAGUGCGAGGAACGAUGGAGGCUGAUAUGGGAGGAAAUAAGUUGUUUAAAUAGGGUGCAAACCCUCAAAUUUAGGGUUUCACUCAAACAGCACCUACUCGCCGAGUCGGUCUCCCGAAUCGUCGAGUAGGUCACUUAAACCCCCGAAGAAAGACGAGUCUACUUGACGAGUUGGGCCUCCAACUCGUCAAGUCCCAGAGUAAAACUCGAAGUUUUAUUGAAUUAAAUACGUACCAGGAAUCGGAUGUUACAAAUCUCACCCACUUAUCUUAGACUUCGUCCUAGAAGUCUGCUGCUGAGUCCUAGAAAAGCUCGGGGUAGUGCUCCCUCAUCUCGUCCUCCGUCUCCCAGGUCCACUCCAAGCCCUUGCAGUACUGCCACUACACCUUCACUAGCUCCACCCUCUUGUUCCUCAGAUCCUUCGACUUCUUGUCGAGGAUCACCACUGGCCGCUCGAUGUAGUUCAGGUUGUCAUAUACCUGAAUAUCCUCCAAGGGCACCACUGCCGAGUCGUCCACCAGACAUUUCCGUAAUUGGGAGACGUGAAAAGUGCUAUGAAUCUGACUGGGUUCGGCUAGUAGGUCCAACCUAUACGCCACCUUGCCCACCCGGGCUACACUCCUAAAAGGUCCAAUAUUCCUAGGGCCCAACUUGCCCCGCUUCCUGAAUCGAAUGACGCCCUUCCAAGGCAACACUUUUAGGAGUACCAUAUCCCCGACCUGGAACUCCAGGUCCGAUCGACGCUUGUCGGCAUAAAUUUUCUGCCUACUCUGAGUAGUCUGAAGCCUGCUCCGAACCUGCUGGAUCCUCUCUGUAGUCUGGAGCACCACUUCGGUACUCCCCAGGACCCUCUAACCAACCUCACUCAACAUAUUGGGGUCCUAUACUUCCUCCCAUACAACAUCUUGAAGGGAGGACAGUCGAUACUCGCAUGAUAGUUGUUAUUAUAGGAAAAAUCCGCCAGAGGAAGGUAAGUAUCCCAACUACCUCCGAAGUCUAAAACACACGCCCACAGCAUAUCCUCCAGAGUCUAGAUGGUCCGCUCGCUCUGACCAUCCGUCUGCGGGUGAAAGGCGGUGCUAAAGUGCAGACGAGUACCCAGCUCAUCAUGAAACUUCUUCCAGAACCCGGAAGUGAACCGCACAUCCCUGUCGGAAAUCACUGAGACUAGCAC
RNAcentral lists this long non-coding RNA (16810 nucleotides) under Lactuca sativa (garden lettuce). RNAcentral describes it as "long non-coding RNA (LSAT_LNC005826)". Lineage: Eukaryota; Viridiplantae; Streptophyta; Magnoliopsida; Asterales; Asteraceae. The record is from RNAcentral.